GGGGGCAGAGUGACAGGUGGUGCAUGGUUGUCGUCAGCUCGUGUCGUGAGAUGUUGGGUUAAGUCCCGCAACGAGCGCAACCCUUGAUCUUAGUUGCCAGCAUUCAGUUGGGCACUCUAAGGUGACUGCCGGUGACAAACCGGAGGAAGGUGGGGAUGACGUCAAAUCAUCAUGCCCCUUAUGACCUGGGCUACACACGUGCUACAAUGGGCAGAACAAAGGGCAGCGAAGCCGCGAGGCUAAGCCAAUCCCACAAAUCUGUUCUCAGUUCGGAUCGCAGUCUGCAACUCGACUGCGUGAAGCUGGAAUCGCUAGUAAUCGCGGAUCAGCAUGCCGCGGUGAAUACGUUCCCGGGCCUUGUACACACCGCCCGUCACACCACGAGAGUUUGU
This 392-nucleotide ribosomal RNA is filed under the name Bacillus sp. (in: firmicutes). RNAcentral's name for it is "bacterial SSU rRNA". It matches the Rfam family "Bacterial small subunit ribosomal RNA", at positions 1022 to 1415 of the family's 1533-position model. The record is from RNAcentral. Lineage: Bacteria; Bacillati; Bacillota; Bacilli; Caryophanales; Bacillaceae.